GUGACGAAGCGACGCCGCGUGUGGGAAGAAGGCCUUCGGGUUGUAAACCACUGUCGGGAGUUAGGAAAUGCAGGUGCGUUAAUAGCGCACUUGCUUGACUAAGGCUCCAGAGGAAGCCACGGCUAACUCUGUGCCAGCAGCCGCGGUAAUACAGAGGCGGCAAGCGUUGUUCGGAAUUAUUGGGCGUAAAGAGCACGUAGGCGGCCUUGCAAGUCAGUUGUGAAAGCCUUCCGCUUAACGGAAGAACGGCAUCUGAUACUACAGGGCUUGAGUACGGGAGGGGAGAGUGGAACUUCUGGUGGAGCGGUGAAAUGCGUAGAUAUCAGAAGGAACGCCGGCGGCGAAAGCGACUCUCUGGUCCGAAACUGACGCUGAGUGUGCGAAAGCUAGGGGAGCAAACGGGAUUAGAUACCCCGGUAGUCCUAGCCGUAAACGAUGGGCACUAAGUAGAGGGGUUUUGAUUAUUUCUCUGCCGGAGCUAACGCAUUAAGUGCCCCGCCUGGGGAGUACGGCCGCAAGGCUAAAACUCAAAAGAAUUGACGGGGGCUCGCACAAGCGGUGGAGCAUGUGGCUUAAUUCGAUGCAACGCGAAGAACCUUACCGGGGCUUGACAUGGUAGAAGUAGAAUCCUGAAAGGGUGACGAUCGGUAUCCAGUCCGAAGCUAUCACAGGUGUUGCAUGGCUGUCGUCAGCUCGUGUCGUGAGACGUUGGGUUAAGUCCCCUAACGAGCGAAACCCUUGUCUUUAGUUGCUAACGGGUAAUGCUGAGCACUUUAGAGAGACUGCCGUCGUUAAGACGGAGGAAGGUGGGGACGACGUCAAGUCAUCAUGGCCCUUAUGUCCCGGGCUGCACACGUGCUACAAUGGUCGGUACAAAGGGAUGCUAAGUCGCGAGAUGGUGCGAAACCUAUAAAGCCGAUCUCAGUUCAGAUUGGAGGCUGAAACUCGCCUCCAUGAAGUUGGAAUCGCUAGUAAUCGCGGAUCAGCUACGCCGCGGUGAAUAUGUUCCCGAGCCUU
RNAcentral lists this ribosomal RNA (1017 nucleotides) under uncultured anaerobic ammonium-oxidizing bacterium. RNAcentral's name for it is "bacterial SSU rRNA". It matches the Rfam family "Bacterial small subunit ribosomal RNA", at positions 383 to 1382 of the family's 1533-position model. The record is from RNAcentral.